Molecule: transfer RNA, 71 nt
Filed under: Loxodonta africana (African savanna elephant)
Lineage: Eukaryota; Metazoa; Chordata; Mammalia; Proboscidea; Elephantidae
Rfam family: tRNA
About the family: Transfer RNA (tRNA) molecules are approximately 80 nucleotides in length.
Source: Rfam by way of RNAcentral
ACAGUGGUGAUUCAGAGGUAGAAUUCUUGCCUUCCAUGCAGGUGACCUAGGUUUAAUUCCUGGCAAAUGAA